CCCUUAGAUGUCCUGGGCUGCACGCGUGCUACACUGAUGAAUUCAACGAGUUUAUCACCUUGGCCGAAAGGUCUGGGUAAUCUUUUGAAAUUUCAUCGUGCUGGGGAUAGACUAUUGCAAUUAUUGGUCUUCAACGAGGAAUUCCUAGUAGACGUAGUUCAUCAGACUGCAUCGAUUACGUCCCUGCCCUUUGUACACACCGCCCGUCGCUACUACCGAUUGAACGGUUUAGUGAGGGCCUCGGAUUGGUCUCGGCCCGCUCUUCACCGGGCGGCGCCGUUGGUCGAGAAGACGCUCGAACUUGAUCGUUUAGAGGAAGUAAAAGUCGUAACA
RNAcentral lists this ribosomal RNA (333 nucleotides) under uncultured eukaryote. RNAcentral's name for it is "partial 18S ribosomal RNA". It matches the Rfam family "Eukaryotic small subunit ribosomal RNA", at positions 1470 to 1796 of the family's 1831-position model. The record is from RNAcentral.